GCACAAGCAGCGGAGCGUGUGGUUUAAUUCGUUGCUACACGAAGAACUUACCUGGGUUUGACAUAUAGGUUGUAGGGAACUGAAAAGGGACCGACCCUUCGGGGAGCCUAUACAGGUGUUGCAUGGCUGUCGUCAGCUCGUGUCGUGAGAUGUUCGGUUAAGUCCGCUAACGAGCGCAACCCUCGUCGUAUGUUAUAUGUGUCAUACGAGACUGCCGGUAAAAGCCGGAGGAAGGUGAGGAUGAUGUCAAGUCAGCAUGGCCUUUAUAUCCAGGGCUACACACACGCUACAAUGGUCUGUACAAUGGGUAGCCAAGCCGCGAGGCGGAGCCAAUCCUGAAAGCAGGCCUCAGUUCAGAUUGCAGUCUGCAACUCGACUGCAUGAAGCCGGAGUUGCUAGUAACCGCAGGUCAGCAAUACUGCGGUGAAUACGUUCCCGGGUCUU
RNAcentral lists this ribosomal RNA (444 nucleotides) under uncultured Anaerolineaceae bacterium. Its description in RNAcentral is "bacterial SSU rRNA". It matches the Rfam family "Bacterial small subunit ribosomal RNA", at positions 923 to 1382 of the family's 1533-position model. The record is from RNAcentral. Lineage: Bacteria; Bacillati; Chloroflexota; Anaerolineae; Anaerolineales; Anaerolineaceae.